Molecule: ribosomal RNA, 569 nt
Filed under: uncultured bacterium
Lineage: Bacteria
Description: bacterial SSU rRNA
Rfam family: Bacterial small subunit ribosomal RNA
Source: RNAcentral
CCUACGGGAGGCAGCAGUGGGGAAUAUUGGGCAAUGGAGGAAACUCUGACCCAGCGACGCCGCGUGAGGGAUGAAGGCCUUCGGGUUGUAAACCUCUUUCAGUAGGGAAGAAGCGAAAGUGACGGUACCUACAGAAGAAGCACCGGCUAACUAUGUGCCAGCAGCCGCGGUAAUACAUAGGGUGCAAGCGUUGUCCGGAAUUAUUGGGCGUAAAGAGCUCGUAGGUGGUUCGAUACGUCGGAUGUGAAAAUCAGGGGCUCAACCCCUGACCUGCAUCCGAUACGGUCGAGCUAGAGUUUGGUAGGGGAGACUGGAAUUCCUGGUGUAGCGGUGGAAUGCGCAGAUAUCAGGAGGAACACCGAUGGCGAAGGCAGGUCUCUGGGCCAAUACUGACACUGAGGAGCGAAAGCGUGGGGAGCGAACAGGAUUAGAUACCCUGGUAGUCCACGCCGUAAACGGUGGGCGCUAGUUGUGCGAACCUUCCACGGUUUGUGCGACGCAGCUAACGCAUUAAGCGCCCCGCCGUGGGGAGUACGAUCGCAAGAUUAAAACUUAAAGGUAAUUGACGG